RNAcentral lists this ribosomal RNA (498 nucleotides) under uncultured bacterium. RNAcentral's name for it is "bacterial SSU rRNA". It matches the Rfam family "Bacterial small subunit ribosomal RNA", at positions 1032 to 1529 of the family's 1533-position model. The record is from RNAcentral.
AGACAGGUGGUGCAUGGUUGUCGUCAGCUCGUGUCGUGAGAUGUUGGGUUAAGUCCCGCAACGAGCGCAACCCCUAUUUUCAGUAGCCAGCAUGUAAAGAUGGGCACUCUGGAGAGACUGCCUGGGAUAACCAGGAGGAAGGCGGGGAUGACGUCAAAUCAUCAUGCCCCUUAUGAUCAGGGCUACACACGUGCUACAAUGGCGUAAACAAAGGGAAGCAAAGCGGUGACGCCAAGCAAAUCCCAAAAAUAACGUCUCAGUUCGGAUUGUAGUCUGCAACUCGACUACAUGAAGCUGGAAUCGCUAGUAAUCGCGAAUCAGAAUGUCGCGGUGAAUACGUUCCCGGGUCUUGUACACACCGCCCGUCACACCAUGGGAGUCGGAAAUGCCCGAAGUCAGUGACCUAACCGAAAGGGAGGAGCUGCCGAAGGUGGAGCCGGUAACUGGGGUGAAGUCGUAACAAGGUAGCCGUAUCGGAAGGUGCGGCUGGAUCACCUC